Molecule: transfer RNA, 73 nt
Filed under: Stegodyphus mimosarum
Lineage: Eukaryota; Metazoa; Arthropoda; Arachnida; Araneae; Eresidae
Rfam family: tRNA
About the family: Transfer RNA (tRNA) molecules are approximately 80 nucleotides in length. Their secondary structure includes four short double-helical elements and three loops (D, anti-codon, and T loops). Further hydrogen bonds mediate the characteristic L-shaped molecular structure. tRNAs have two regions of fundamental functional importance: the anti-codon, which is responsible for specific mRNA codon recognition, and the 3' end, to which the tRNAs corresponding amino acid is attached (by aminoacyl-tRNA synthetases). tRNAs cope with the degeneracy of the genetic code in two manners: having more than one tRNA (with a specific anti-codon) for a particular amino acid; and 'wobble' base-pairing, i.e. permitting non-standard base-pairing at the 3rd anti-codon position.
Source: Rfam by way of RNAcentral
GCCUUCGUGGUGUAGUGGUCAGUACGCUCGACGCGUAACCGAGAGUUCCGUGGUUCGAUUCCCGGCGAAGACG